This 372-nucleotide ribosomal RNA is filed under the name uncultured bacterium. RNAcentral's name for it is "bacterial SSU rRNA". It matches the Rfam family "Bacterial small subunit ribosomal RNA", at positions 527 to 895 of the family's 1533-position model. The record is from RNAcentral.
GUAGGGGGCGAGCGUUGUCCGGAUUCAUUGGGCGUAAAGAGCGUGCAGGCGGCCCGCCCCGUCUGCCGUGAAAGCCCCGGGCUCAACUCCGGAAGUGCGGGGGAUACUGGCGGACUCGAGGGUGGUAGAGGACACUGGAAUUCCUGGUGUAGCGGUGAAAUGCGCAGAGCUCCGGAGGAACACCGAUGGCGAAGGCGGGCCCCCUGGGCCACUCCUGACGCUGAGACGCGAAAGCGUGGGGAGCGAUCCGGAUUAGAUACCCUGGUAGUCCACGCCGUAAACGGUGGGAACUAGGUGUGGGCCUCAUUCACCCACGCCGGGGCCGCACUUAAGGCCUUAAUGUCCCCGCCGGGGAAGACCGGCCCCAGGGUU